This 356-nucleotide ribosomal RNA is filed under the name uncultured bacterium. Its description in RNAcentral is "bacterial SSU rRNA". It matches the Rfam family "Bacterial small subunit ribosomal RNA", at positions 29 to 410 of the family's 1533-position model. The record is from RNAcentral.
AACGAACGCUGGCGGCAGGCCUCAAACAUGCAAGUCUAGGGGGUGUAGCAAUACAUCACCGGCGGACGGGUGCGUAACGCGUGGGAAUAUACCUAUCGAUUCGGAACAACUGAGGGAAACUUCAGCUAAUACCGAAUACGUCCUAACGGAGAAAGAUUUAUCGUCGAUAGAUUAGCCCGCGUUCGAUUAGCUAGUUGGUGGGGUAACGGCCCACCAAGGCGACGAUCGAUAGCUGUUCUGAGAGGAAGAUCAGCCACACUGGGACUGAGACACGGCCCAGACUCCUACGGGAGGCAGCAGUUGGGAAUAUUGGACAAUGGGCGAAAGCCUGAUCCAGCCAUGCCGCGUGUGUGAAG